Molecule: non-coding RNA, 745 nt
Organism: Malus domestica (apple)
Lineage: Eukaryota; Viridiplantae; Streptophyta; Magnoliopsida; Rosales; Rosaceae
Source: RefSeq, a predicted model, not a curated record
CCCUUCGACUCAUACGCGGCCCAGUUUUAGCCUCGAAAUUUUGAGCGGCCACUUUCGUCUUCAGAGAACAAAUACCUUUUCUCUGCUCCCACUUUCUGCCUUCCAGAAAACGCAAAGCUUCUUCCUUUCAGCUUCUCCUCCUCCUUCCUUUUCAGCGUAGCAUAUUUCUGUUAGGUCUUGAAGAACUUUGAGAAAUGGGUGGACUGCCGGCAGAAAAUACUUCCUCUGCCUUGGUUUUGCAAAGGUCACAGCCUAAUCAAGGAUCAGCAGUCACUACUCCUGCUCUGGACACAAAGCCAAAGAAGAAGAUCUGCUGUGCUUGCCCGGAUACUAAGAAGCUGCGAGAUGAAUGCAUUGUAGAACAUGGUCAAGAUGCUUGCACAAAAUGGAUCGAUGCUCAUCUCAAGUGCCUUCGUGCAGAGGGCUUCAGUGUUUGAAAUAUCCGGAUGGUUAAGAUAAUAAAUUGAAGGCUAUGUUCAACAGUUUUGAAGGGAAACCAUUUACUUUAGGUUUAGACAUACAACAUGGUAAUAUUUGAACGUUGGUGAAUAAUACAAGGAAGAAGAGCUUCUGUAGUUCUGUCUACUGUUAGAUGCAACCAUAUUUGACUUGUAUAUACUUAAAUAUUACUGAGACUUACACCUUCAAACGUUAUAGAGUUACAACAUGUGAUCUUAAUAUAUGCUAUUGUCUUGGCUAAUUGUAAGGCUCUCUCGAAUUAGUUUAUCAUUCAACUAUUCGUAAA